Molecule: ribosomal RNA, 518 nt
Filed under: uncultured Acidobacteriota bacterium
Lineage: Bacteria; Pseudomonadati; Acidobacteriota
Description: bacterial SSU rRNA
Rfam family: Bacterial small subunit ribosomal RNA
Source: RNAcentral
GACGCAACGCCGCGUGGAGGACGAAGAUCUUCGGGUCGUAAACUCCUGUCGAGCGGGAAGAAACCCGCGGGGGUGAACAGCUCCUGCGGUUGACGGUACCGCUAAAGGAAGCCCCGGCUAACUCCGUGCCAGCAGCCGCGGUAAUACGGGGGGGGCAAGCGUUGUUCGGAAUUACUGGGCGUAAAGGGCUCGUAGGCGGCCAACUAAGUCGGAUGUGAAAUCCCCAGGCUCAACUUGGGAACUGCAUCCGAUACUGGAUGGCUUGAAUCCGGGAGAGGGAUGCAGAAUUCCAGGUGUAGCGGUGAAAUGCGUAGAUAUCUGGAGGAAUACCGGUGGCGAAGGCGGCAUUCUGGACCGGCAUUGACGCUGAUGAGCGAAAGCCAGGGGAGCAAACGGGAUUAGAUACCCCGGUAGUCCUGGCCCUAAACGAUGAAUGCUUGGUGUGACGGGUAUCGAUCCCUGUCGUGCCGAAGCUAACGCAUUAAGCAUUCCGCCUGGGGAGUACGGUCGCAAGGCUG